This 503-nucleotide ribosomal RNA is filed under the name uncultured bacterium. Its description in RNAcentral is "partial 16S ribosomal RNA". It matches the Rfam family "Bacterial small subunit ribosomal RNA", at positions 30 to 523 of the family's 1533-position model. The record is from RNAcentral.
AUUGAACGCUGGCGGCAGGCUUAACACAUGCAAGUCGAGCGGGGUGAUGGUGCUUGCACUAUCACUUAGCGGCGGACGGGUGAGUAAUGCUUAGGAAUCUGCCUAUUAGUGGGGGACGACAUCUCGAAAGGGAUGCUAAUACCGCAUACGUCCUACGGGAGAAAGCAGGGGAUCACUUGUGACCUUGCGCUAAUAGAUGAGCCUAAGUCGGAUUAGCUAGUUGGUGGGGUAAAGGCCUAACAAGGCGACGGUCUGUAGCGGGGCUGAGAGGAUGAUCCGCCACACUGGGACUGAGACACGGCCCAGACUCGUACGGGAGGCAGCAGUGGGGAAUAUUGGACAAUGGGGGGAACCCUGAUCCAGCCAUGCCGCGUGUGUGAAGAAGGCCUUAUGGUUGUAAAGCACUUUAAGCGAGGAGGAGGCUCUUUUGGUUAAUACCCAAGAUGAGUGGGCGUUACUCGCAGAAUAAGCACCGGCUAACUCUGUGCCAGCCGCCGCCGUAA